ACUCAGCAACGUACAAGUUCAGAUUUAUAACAAAUCAGACCGGAGGGAAAUAUUUUGGGAGCCCUGGAGUCACUUUGUCUGUUACAGGCGUGCAGGUGAAGGUGACCACUACAUGGUGGUCAACGACACUGACCUGUAGCACCACCUGUACUCUGACUGACAACCCCAACCCCACCUACAUCUGGUACAGGAACAGUAAGAUUGUACAACAGGACUCCUCUCCCUCAUACAAAGUCCGCUUUAAAACUGAAGACAGCUUCUACUGUGCUGUAAAAGGCAUCAAUUCUAAUGCAGUGUUGGUAAUGGGUCAGAAUGGCUGGAGUGUUACACACACCACUCAGAGUAUCUGUGUCUUGAAGGGGUCAACAGUGGA
Oncorhynchus masou masou (cherry salmon) is the source of this 373-nucleotide long non-coding RNA. RefSeq lists it as uncharacterized. The transcript has 3 exons. Lineage: Eukaryota; Metazoa; Chordata; Actinopteri; Salmoniformes; Salmonidae. The record is from RefSeq and is a predicted model, not a curated record.